Ribosomal RNA from Ophiostoma piceae, 120 nucleotides. Lineage: Eukaryota; Fungi; Ascomycota; Sordariomycetes; Ophiostomatales; Ophiostomataceae. The record is from Rfam.
ACGUACGGCCAUAGAUAUUGGAAUACACGGGAUCCCGUCCGCUCUCCCCUAGUUAAACCAAUAAUCGGUGGAUUAGUAGUUGGGUCGGUGACGACCAGCGAAUACCCGCUGCUGUACGUU